CCAUACCAUUGUGUUCGGCUAAAUUCAGGUUUUUCCCAUGCGAAAUGUCGAUAACUAAGUUUUCAGUUUAUAAAACCAAGAUAUUACUCUUUAAAUCGAAGAAAAAAACACGCAAUUUCUGCUCACGUUGACUCCGGAUUUGUGUCGACCGCUACUUAGUGUUUACUUUGUAUUCUACUAUUGCGAACAUGUUGGUCAACUUGGAGACGAUCGUUUUGAAGUGGUUAAUAUAACUGGUUCAUAUGUGACAUGCUAAACGAGUAUGCUAUAUUUGGUCAUACCAGUUUAAACCGCUGACACCGUCACACAGUGGAAAAACCUUCCGACAAAACCUUCAAAUUUUCGACAACCCCCCCCCCCCCAAUUUGCACCCGAAAUUCGUCAACUUUUGUUUGGGGGGGGGGGGAAACCCCACCGAAAUUUCCGCCACUGCUGUCACAGCAUUACUAGUUAUUCACGAAAGGUCGAGUGAGUGGAAUCACUGUCAAUGUUUUCAUGGUUUAUCUUUCCAAAGCAAGUACGAAAAUUCAUUACUCAUUACUCGUUACCAUGGUUAAAAGCGGGCAUCGUGGACAUUUGGAGAUAAUAGGGAAUCUUCAUUCUUCCCGUCAUCCCCCGCGCGCCCACUUCUCUGCCUAGCCCGCGACUGCCCGCAAGCCAAAUUUAUGGAAAGCAAACAAACAGUAGCGUAACGGCUCAUUGGUUAGGGUUAGUUAAAAAACUAAGGGUCCCCAACAGUUAGGGGCCCCCAUCAGCCACGGCACAUAGGCC
Molecule: non-coding RNA, 771 nt
Organism: Paramuricea clavata
Lineage: Eukaryota; Metazoa; Cnidaria; Anthozoa; Malacalcyonacea; Plexauridae
Source: the annotation of a GenBank genome assembly